This 253-nucleotide ribosomal RNA is filed under the name uncultured bacterium. RNAcentral's name for it is "partial 16S ribosomal RNA". It matches the Rfam family "Bacterial small subunit ribosomal RNA", at positions 524 to 776 of the family's 1533-position model. The record is from RNAcentral.
UACGUAGGUGGCAAGCGUUGUCCGGAAUUAUUGGGCGUAAAGCGCGCGCAGGCGGUCCUUUAAGUCUGAUGUGAAAUUCCACGGCUCAACCGUGGAAGGUCAUUGGAAACUGGGGGACUUGAGUACAGAAGAGGAAAGCGGAAUUCCAAGUGUAGCGGUGAAAUGCGUAGAGAUGUGGAGGAACACCAGUGGCGAAGGCGGCUUUUUGGUCUGUAACUGACGCUGAGGCGCGAAAGCGUGGGGAGCAAACAGG